UGCAUGUACAUGUAACCCUUUUGGCUUUAUCAUCGUGAACUCACUUUUGAAGCGAGUCAACAGCAUCUUGAAACCCAUAGAGAAAGUGUAAACAAUAAGCUAGGUGCGGUAUUUAAAGCGGGUAUAUACAAUCUUGUCAAAUAUUUAUUAAUUAAUAUAAAAUGUGUAAAAAACUUAUUAUAUCGUAGGAUUACCGUAAGUCGACCAUGACCUAAUUUCGACCACUUUGUUUACAUUAAAAACGCGGCCAUUUGGAUGACGUCACACGCAAGCGCUCCGAGUAUUUCGAUGAAGUGACAUAACUACGCUUAUAAACAAAAACAAAUAAAAACAAAAUGAGGAAAAAACAGGCUUAUCUCAAACAAUUUUGUAAAAUGGGCACAGUGUGACAAUAGAGCCUGCAACCACUGGGUACACCUGUCAUUUUGUACAGAAAUUAAAGUCAUCAGAAGAGGUGCAACAUUUAUGUGCCCAUGCUGUGCUAAAGAAGAGUGAAAAUUGUUCUUAAGAAAAGUGAAAGAAACAUGUUCAAUUGUAUUUAUAAAAUAUUGAAAACAUA
Molecule: long non-coding RNA, 559 nt
Organism: Dreissena polymorpha
Lineage: Eukaryota; Metazoa; Mollusca; Bivalvia; Myida; Dreissenidae
Exons: 2
Source: RefSeq, a predicted model, not a curated record